AUCAGCAGGAUGAUCUGAAACCUCUGCUGGAUUUGAGUGUUUCACAGUAACACAGUAGAUGAUCAUGUUGUGUUGAAGGUUUAGUUGCUGUUCCCCUCUGUUACAUCAUCAGGACUCACACAUUUAUUCCAUCAUGACGUCAUGAUGCAAAUCCAGAGUGCUGUGUGUCCAUGCAGUAUUUAUGUGCAGCUGAGCUGAGUGGAGCAGUCGAGUCUCAUCAACACUCACCAUGAAGAUCCCACUCUCCUUAAUCCUGCUACUAAUCAGCCUCAUCAGUAUUCAGUGUCAAAGUCUUGAGUCUAUUCCCAUUGGUUCAGUGGUGAAAAAACCUGGAGAAACUCUGAGUCUCUCCUGUAAAGGAUCUGGGUUUAACUUUGGUGGCUAUGGAAUGAACUGGAUCAGACAACAAGCUGGAAAAGCACUAGAAUGGAUUGGGGCUAUCUGGAGUGAUGCCAGUAAAACUGUGUAUGCCAAACACAUCGAGGGACGUUUGGAAAUUACCAGAGACAACUCCAAAAACAUGGUGUAUCUGCAGCUGACUGGUUUGAGUGCACAGGACUCUGCUGUGUAUUACUGUGCAAAAUAACACAGUGGUACAAACAUGUUAAUCAGCUGUACAAAAUCUUCCCACAAUACAUGCCAUUUUCACAAGAUCUGCAGGUGGCACUACAGCAUAAUACAUUUAUUGUAACAUUGUAGGUUUCUUUAAAAGUGGUCAUAAGUACAACAUAUUUCAUCCACAGACACGUGUAGAUACGACACAAUUUCUAAGUCUUUAUGUGAGACAUUGAACAUUUGUCUCUUGUAGUCAAUUUCCCACAAGGGACCAAAGAGGAAAAUAAAUAAUAACAUUUACAGAAUCAUUGCUGACUUUUAAUCAGUGAUUGAAUACACGCAACAUCAAGACUAAUGAAAAUGAUUUAUUAUAAAUAAACUUAUUAUAAAGUGAAGCUGUCACUUUUCUGACACUGGAAAGUUCUCGGGAUGGAGGACUUCACUCUUUGCAGUUUCUUGGUAAAACUUUGCUUUUUUGUCUUAACUUCAAGUGAGAGGAAGAAAGAUGCUGGUGAGAGAAUAACUGUUUAUAGCUGCUAUAACCUAAGUGAUUCGGGAGCUAAAAUGUUUCAUAAAAGUUCCACAAUAUUAAAUGUGACACUGACUACAGUGAGAAACUGAAAAGCAGGUUUCAGGUUUCCAGAGACACGUCCAGCAGCACAGUAACAUUAACAGGGCAGAAGAUGCAGACUGAAGACACAGCUGUGUAUUACUGCGCU
Molecule: non-coding RNA, 1274 nt
Organism: Pangasianodon hypophthalmus (striped catfish)
Lineage: Eukaryota; Metazoa; Chordata; Actinopteri; Siluriformes; Pangasiidae
Source: the annotation of a RefSeq genome assembly